CCUACGGGGGGCAGCAGUGGGGAAUAUUGCGCAAUGGGCGAAAGCCUGACGCAGCGACGCCGCGUGAGGGAUGAAGGUCUUCGGAUCGUAAACCUCGGUCAGCAGGGAAGAACGGUCACUGUGCUAAUCAGCAGUGAAUUGACGGUACCUGCAAAGGAAGCACCGGCUAACUCCGUGCCAGCAGCCGCGGUAAUACGGAGGGUGCGAGCGUUAAUCGAAAUUACUGGGCGUAAGGCGCUCGUAGGCGGUAGGUCAAGUCAAGGGUGAAAUCCCCGCGCUCAACGUGGGAACUGCCUUUGAAACUGGCAAACUGGAGUGUGUGAGAGGAUAGUGGAAUUCCAGGUGUAGGAGUGAAAUCCGUAGAUAUCUGGAGGAACAUCAGUGGCGAAGGCGACUAUCUGGAACAUAACUGACGCUGAGGAGCGAAAGCGUGGGUAGCAAACAGGAUUAGAUACCCGGGUAGUC
RNAcentral lists this ribosomal RNA (465 nucleotides) under uncultured bacterium. Its description in RNAcentral is "partial 16S ribosomal RNA". It matches the Rfam family "Bacterial small subunit ribosomal RNA", at positions 338 to 795 of the family's 1533-position model. The record is from RNAcentral.